RNAcentral lists this ribosomal RNA (490 nucleotides) under uncultured bacterium. RNAcentral describes it as "partial 16S ribosomal RNA". It matches the Rfam family "Bacterial small subunit ribosomal RNA", at positions 30 to 507 of the family's 1533-position model. The record is from RNAcentral.
AUUGAACGCUGGCGGCAGGCCUAACACAUGCAAGUCGAACGGUAACAGGAAACAGCUUGCUGUUUCGCUGACGAGUGGCGGACGGGUGAGUAAUGUCUGGGAAACUGCCUGAUGGAGGGGGAUAACUACUGGAAACGGUAGCUAAUACCGCAUAACGUCGCAAGACCAAAGAGGGGGACCCUCGGGCCUCUUGCCAUCGGAUGCGCCCAGAUGGGAUUAGCUUGUUGGUGGGGUAACGGCUCACCAAGGCGACGAUCCCUAGCUGGUCUGAGAGGAUGACCAGCCACACUGGAACUGAGACACGGUCCAGACUCCUACGGGAGGCAGCAGUGGGGAAUAUUGCACAAUGGGCGCAAGCCUGAUGCAGCCAUGCCGCGUGUAUGAAGAAGGCCUUCGGGUUGAAAAGUACUUUCAGCGGGGAGGAAGGGAGUAAAGUUAAUACCUUUGCUCAUUGACGUUACCCGCAGAAGAAGCACCGGCUAACUCCGUG